UCGGGGCUCAUCUACGAGGAGACCCGCGGCGUGCUCAAGAUCUUCCUCGAGAACGUCAUCCGCGACGCCGUCACCUACACCGAGCACGCCCGCCGCAAGACCGUCACCGCCAUGGACGUCGUCUACGCGCUCAAGCGCCAGGGCCGCACCCUCUACGGUUUCGGCGGUUAGGCCCGCCAGAUCCGUCGCCCGCGGAAACCAGAUUAGGAGCUAGCCUCUGUUUAGGAUUCAUGUUCUGUUGUGGGGUAAUUGCAGUAUCUCGCUGUCUUGUUUCCUCUGUUCUGCUGUUUGGUGCAUGGACAAACUGAUCACUGCUGGUUUGCUAGAAUGGAAUGGAAUGGAAAUUUCACCCUUGAAUUCUUAUGCAAUCUCCUAGCUCUGCUGAUAUCCCGGUUCUGUCGCUCUGUAUUAUCUUUGUCCUCAAAUUAAUUGAUGUGUGCUACAGUGUUCGAUUUGAAUGAUGCCUGAAUUUUUUCUAUCUGAAUUUCGUAAGUCCACCACAAUCUGAUUUAAAUCCCAAAUUCGAGAACCCGUUGAGAAGUAGCUGCAGAACAGAGAGGAACUGAACCGUGUGUUGAUAAUAUGGUAGAAGUGUCUUGAUAAUUGUUCGUUUAUUGAUGAAAAGAAUGUGGCACAAAUUGCAGGUAACCAUAGGCGCCAUGGAGUGGGGGAAAGUCUACUUGGUGGAAGACGUUGUGACGGAGGCUGCAGCCUGCAGGUGAUUGCUUCUUGCCUCUGCAAUUCGCUUGGUAGUUCCAGACUUGUGUCCCAAGUUCAAACAGAGCCACAUUAAGUAUUCUAUUCCAUAAAAUACAAAUUUCGCAAUGCUUAGUGAAUUGUCAAUCGAAGAUUAAUAAAUGGUGCAUGCUGGGUCACUGUCGACUAGUUAACUGCAUAUUCAUAUCCAUCCAUAAUGUUGUGUGGUUCCUCACACACCAUUAGGAUUACUUAGCGUAAUCUUUUGGUUUUGUUGAAUUACAUGAUACAGUCUUCUUUAGCAUAGGCCAUGCUGAUAUUUAGGGCCAAAAGCUUGAAUCAUUUUUGUUCUCUCCGUGGUACUGUAUAUCAUCACCUUAUGCUACUUCGACUGAUCUUUUGAAGUGGAUGGAACAAAGCGAAAAACUGGCCACAGACCUGUUGAAAAUGGCUGCUGAAAAUCUAGGAAGGUUGAAACGGAGCUGCUCGUCCAAAUGCAGGUCUUCUUCUCUUGCCCGGGAAACUGGUGGAGCGUUCUUCUUUGAUUAAUUAUAUUAGAGUGACCCAAAUUAUUAAGACAAAACCAAUCCACAAUCAUAUCUUUUAUCUUCAUAUUUCAAUAUUUGCAUAGCAACCGCCGUCGAUACAAAUUCUUCAAUAGUAAACAAACAAUUUUUUUGCUAUCCUCUAAUAUUACAGGGUGUUGACCAUAAUAUGACAAGCAUAGUCAAAAAAUAAUGAUGAUGAGGUCCUUGUUCUUGCUGCUUGUAACAGUACAUAUGCUCUGGAUCUGGGUAGAGAAUAUUUAAUGAAUUAUUCAUCUAAUUGCAUCGUGCAUCUUUCUUAGAAGAAAAAUAAGUUGUGCAUCUGUGUUGUGUUUUUCACUUAUUCUUACAGUAUUGAACAUGUCAUACCUGUGCCCCAGCCUGCGCGGUUACGUCUCGAACAAUCACACCUACAUUUCACCGCCUGACCUUAAAGCUAGGUAAUGCAGGUUCAAGGUAAUGAACUGGCAAAAGAAUUUUUUUGGCAUUGCUACUAACUUCUGUUACCUUGACAGCUUGACAUCUGACAUUGAUGUACUGAAUUUUCUACUCAGACCUAUGCGGUUUUUCCAGGUAAUAAUUUUGAUUGCUACAGAAGUUCAAGUGUCACAUCAAGCCAAGGUGUCGAGGUAAAUUCAUUCUAGAGAUCCUAUAUGCAAAUACCAAGUGAUACUUCACAGCCUAAUAUUGCAUCAUAUCCAAUUAGAUGGCUAUUGUCAUGAGAGCUCAGAACGUAUUCUGCAGUGGCUCUUGGGUUGCUGGCACAUGGGCUGAAGAUCUUCAGCAUAUUGGAUUGUGUGCAAUUUAGUUCACCAUUGUUGUUUUCCUGCUCCUAGUUCGGCUUGCACCUCAAUCUACUAUUAGACUUCUUUAUGCAACCAGGGAAUAUGCAUGUAGUUCAAAGAUUUGAGGGCCCUAGAGACUAGAGCAGGGAAAAAACAUAAGUAUACAUGUGGUUUUCAGUUUACUGACUCCUGUCAAACAUUAGUGCCAUGUGCAAUAUUAUGUGCCUGCAUGCGUUACUCGCUCCAGUCACAGAUAUAAGGCAUUUGGACAUUGUUUUCUAAUAGCAUAUACUUUAACUGAACAGCAACUGUUGAGGGAAAAGCUCAGAGGAGGAUCUCUGUUCAGCAACAUUUUGUAGGUGUUUCCUCUGUGUCUCUCUAUCAAAUUUUCAUGACAGAUUCAUGGUUCUUGCAUGUUUAAUAGUUCUAAGUAUAUGCUUACAGCUAUAUAAUCCGAGUUUACAUGUCUACGUUAUGUUUUUCUUACAUAUAUUGCGCUGUGAGCAUAGUUGUAAUCUUGUCCAAGUUCUGUGUCACAAGACUGGAAACUACAAGUUAUUUGAGAUUGGCAAACCUAAUGACCAACAAUAUCAUGCAAAGUGUUCCUUUCUGGGAGGUGAUAGAAUCCAAACUGUCCAGCUUCUGUGUAUUUUGGGCCUGCUCAGGUUUUUUCUUCUGUCUUUGCUUUUUGUAUUUUUUUUUUCACAUCCUUUUUACUGCAUUUCCUUAGAGAUUCUUCUUCAAACAAACAUGCAGACUUCCCUGAGUGAAGUUCUCACCGACAACACUGGCAAAUUGAUUUCAUGGUUGCAUAUGCUGUGAAAAUAGAAGGUUGAUAUAUAGACGUGCAAAAAUAGAAUGAUGACAUUGAGAGUGACUUCCUUGCACAGUGUUUUCAUAUGUUUUCUUUUAGAUCUUCAGUAUACUGCACUUAUUGAGGUGUAUUCAGUCUAUUUUCUUGAUCAUCUCUUGACUCGAGUUUAUAUUGUGUGGUUUAUUUUGUGUUGAAGUGUAUGUGUGGAUUGACUAGCCUUUUCCAUCAAUUUGGACUUCUAGUUGUGUGGCUUGUGAAUGAAACUUGACAACUUUUUCUGUCAAGUCAUAUUAAUCCUUUUGCCUUUCUGAAGAAUUCAUUUUAUUGUGUUUGAGCGCCAGUUCAACAGGUUUUGCUUAAAUUUAUGUUCUGAUGGGAAGACAUAUUAGAGGCAGAGCUCAACCAAGAGCAAUGUUAUUCUGUAUAAAUAUAUUACAGUACAUAUAUACAACAGUUAUGAUCCAGUACUACUCAUUAGUGACAUGGUAAACUACAAUACAAACAAAAGGAAAAUAUCGUAAGCAUCAUGCUAGACGAUGCUCAUGGGACUGUCACCGGACAUUUGAGGCUACAUCAGGAGGGAUAGGACACGUGUACUCGCAUAACUUCCAUAUUUACUUGUCUCGUGGACUAGAAAUUAGGCAAUCACAGUAGCGUAGGUGCUGUUUUUUACUCAUGAAGUUAGAAGGCAUAUUAGAAUCCUUUUGCUGUUGGCUUUUAUUCAUAAAAUCAAUUCAAGUGCUAAAUUCUCUCUUAUACUCCAUAUCUGCUUAUAUAGCUAAAUACUCCUCCUUAAUUAUCAGCGUUGUGUAAGCGCACGGGCACUAGAUUUAGAAAUGCUCAGACUUUCAAUGUUCACUGAAUUAGUAAAUCUUGUCUUUCCUAAAAAGAAUUAGUAAAUCUUAUCAUAACAAAUGUUCAUUCGAAAGUGUUCAGAAAUUUUCAGUUUUUAAUCAUGAAAUGUUCAGUUUUUUGCUCUCUAAAUUGUGCGUCUUUAUUUUGUUUGCUCCUGUGUAGAAUUAGUAAAUGUGCAGAAUUGUUAAACUAUCCUAAGCUAGGAGAUAGAGCCAACACCUUCAUGGAGUAGAAUCACUGCUCUGGUUAAGCGUAGAAUCUUCAGUUUUUUAGACUCUCACUGAAGAUUGUGUUCCUAAAUCAACAUCAAGUUUAGGAACAAGUGUGUUCCUAAAUAAUCUUCAGUUUAGGAACAAGUGUGUUCCUAAAUAAUCUUCAGGAAAAAACAGAAAUUGAUCACCACAUAUUUCCAGUUCCAAGUUUCUAACAGUUUCAGUAUUUUCAGUUCCAAGUUUCUAACAGUUUCAGUUUCCGAUUUAUAAAUGAGGCUAAGUACAAUAACAACAACAACAAAGCCUUUAGUCCCAAACAAGUUGGGGUAGGCUAGAGGUGAAACCCAUAAGAUCAAGCGAUCAACUCAUGGUCCCGGAUAGCAAGCUUCCACUCACCCUUGUCCAUGGCUAGUUCUUUGGUCUGUACGGACUCUUCUCAUGUCAAGUUCGGUCUAUCCCGACCUCUCUUAACAUUAUUGACAUGCUUUAGCCGUUCGCUAUGCACCGAAGAUUCUGAAGGCCUGCGCUGAAUAUGUUCAAACCAUCUAUAAAAAACUGGAAGUUUGUUUUAUUCUAGACUACUUCUGUUGUUUUUUAGCUGACUGGUGCAACACAACAUCGAGCGAGCUCGCUCGUUAUUGGGCCGUGGCCACGCUAUGUUGUCAGGAUGAGUGGCCGCCGUCCAUCGGGGGGAAUGACUCAUUGUCGUCUCUUCAAGGCUCACGCCCUCUCACUCACAGCCUCGGCCUUGCUUUGGAUUCGCAAGGUUCUUUUAUUUACAAACCGAGUUUAUAGUCUUGGAGGACAAGUUCAUAUGAAGAAUGUUCUUGACAUGUGCCGAAAUCCCGGGUGCUUGUGAACCCCAACACUUUUGAUCACAUUGGUGUACCUUUCCAUUUCGCUUCCACUGCAUUGCUUGCUUUCUUCGUCAACUACACGUAUAACUCUCUCAGUUUCUUUGGUAUGCGGGCGGACAAUCUUAAUCCACUAGAAGAGAAAGCUUCUCCCUCCACCGUUUCCUUGACUGCUCCUCUCAUUUUUUGGCGAGUACUUACAUGAUCCAAUCUAGUUUUCUUCGGUGUCAGCUUUGCACCCGUUAGUGGCGACACUGAGAUGGUGGGGUAGUACGCAUGAAUUUUUUUCCCAUGGCCGUAUCCUUGCACGGUUAAAUUUCGUAUUUUGACCCUUUACGAAAGUUGUUCGACAUAUGACCUUCGUUUGCAAAAAAUUUGAGAUCUUACUUUUUUUCUACCGCCGGGGUCCAUAACAGAAGGAUAUAAUAACCUACCGUCGAGGUCUCUGGCGGUAGGGUUGCAUGCCCUACCACACAAAAAAUUGCUAAGUUCCACACACAAUGCGUAUAUGCAUCUAUCGUCGGACACCUUGACGGUAAGGUUGCACAUGCUACCAUCAGACCUUGUGGCGGUAGGGAGCAUUGCGCUGACGUGGUCAAUUUGCCUACCGUCAGGGACCUUGAUGGUAAGCUGUUAUACCCUGCCGUCAUAGACGCCGGCGGUAGGAAAAGGGUCGAAUCCCAUUUUUAUUUACAAAUGAGGGUUAAUUCUCGAACAACUUUUGUAAAAGGGUCGAAACAUGCAAUUUUUCCUCCUUACACUGGUAUGAUUGUUGUGGGCGACACUGUCAACACUAAAAAGACUAUAUUGGUUUGGUUAUCGUAUUUCAUGCUUUUCUACUCGCAAAAUUCUUUUGGACUCGUAUGACCAUGAAUCUAGUGGUUAAAUAACCUCCAACUUAGCCAAACCGCGCUCGCGGUCACCUACUCUCACCUUAUUGGUUAGGUGACUCUCUAAGAGCAUCUACAACCAGAUUAACCAAUAUGAUCCCCUAAACGUGUGCGAACGCGACCGGUAGACCGGGCGUGUCUCAUAUUUAUCCAUCCGUGUAACCACAUUUUUCAUUUUUUUCAUAUGUUCGGUCAUUUGUACGUAGUUGAUGGAGAUGAAGAGAGAUAAAAGAAAAGAAUGGAUAACGAAAAAGAAAAUAUGGUUUUGGAUGGGGUCACGUUUCUCACGUGACGGACUGACUGGGCGUGCUCUGAUACGCCCGCGACCCCUCAUACUGCCCUCAGAUUUGAGACGGAUUUGAGGGGUACCGAUCAUCCCAGACGUUUAGGAUGAAAAUGAGUGGUCUGGUCGGGUCAGCUUUUUUUAUUGAAAUAUGAUCGGCGAACGUUUUGAACAUUUAUGAAGAAAGUAGGGGGUCGGGCUGUAGAUGCUAUAAAGGCUUGUGCAUGUUUGGUCAUCUACGAUUUUUUUCACUUAGAAUUAUAGACGGAUUUGGAUGCAAAAAGGUGAAAUUAAAGACGACAACUUUGAAGACCUUCGAAUUAACUUUUAUGAUGUAAUAUUUGUUGUUUGUGUCAUGCGCUCUGGUUAGUUUAUUUUAAUGGAGUAUAAUUUCGGCGGUAUACUUUUUGAAAACAUUGACGAGACCAUUUUUCUAGAGAUAUUCCUCCGGGCAUACAAUAUUUUCCUUGCAGUACUGUACAUACCCAUAUUCAAUCAUGGAGCUUGCGGCCAGCUCCCGCCUCUUCCCGGCGGAGACGCCACGUACGUCCCGGCCGAGAAAGCGCGCAGCGGCAGCGUGCACAUCACUGACUGACUUAAUUGUCGCGCCUGCUCUCAACAAACCGCUGCUAGUAAUGACGGAAGAGCACAUUGACGGGACGAUCGGCCGAGCAGCCCGGCGAGAUGGCGGGCCACGGUCGCGAUCGGCAUCGGCAUCGGCGUCCAUCAGCGCCCGUGUUUUUCUCCGGGUCUGACCAGGAAUGGCAUGCCGAGACCGACGUGCGCCGAGCCACAGAGCGGCGGUCGGCCGCGCGCGCGACACCUGUGCCGCCGGUGGUGGUUCCGUCGCCGGCUCGUCCCGAUCAGGCAAAUGCGGUCCAAGGGAACAUGUGAGGCCAUGUGAGGGCGCGUCUGUGCCGGUGACUCGGUGUCGGGGCCAAAAGCGUUCGUUUGGCCGUGUCCGGCGCCUCUGCCGGCCCCGACGGCGACCGCAGGCGACGAUCGCUUCGCUGUUCGCGGCGAGAAGCUUAGGGUCGAUCGUCCUGUAUGUAUGUAUGUAUGUAUGUAUGUAUGUAUGUAUGUAUGCUUGCUCUCGCAGCCCAAACGGCCACAAGUUCAGGAGCACAUGCCGCUCACUGUCAGUGACUCGGCGACGACGCUGUGUUGAUCCAUCGUACCGGCAAGUUGGCGACGUGGGUGGCAUCCGGCUUACCAAACGGGGCGCACGGACAAGCUUGGACCAAUGAGUGGCUUCAAAUCCACACAACCUUGUCCUUAACUACAGCUUGAACAACAUGGCUUACUGGAAACUGUACAUGAAUGACAUGCUCGGACAGGGGUUCAACUUCAAGGCAGCCUAAACCAAGAGGAGCAGUAGUAACUCAACUCUGCCGAUCGAGCGCAAAGUCAUAGAAUUCCCGAUAUGAUCGCCGCGUCGCACAGCGAUGUCCGAACAUCACAAGGGACCACUCUCUCUCGGACUCGGUCGCCGCAUCGAUCACAUAUUCACAUGAGGUGAGUCAUCAAUGGAGGGAGUGAAGGAACAUCGCGUAGCCCGUGAACGAUGGCCUUCGCCUUCGCCUUCGCCUUCAUUUGACUCUCCUCUCGCGGUUGCUGUAGCGGGCUACCUUUUGCGUUUCAAUGCUNCUGAACAAUCUAUACUUCCGAUGGGCGAUGGAUCACCAUGCAUGCGUGCGUGCUCUCUUGACCGAUCAUGAGUCCUGUUCCCAGAUCAGAUGGUUCACGAGUGGACCAUAUGUGGAGCCAGACGUUCCUCGCAACAUGACACGGGAGGUAGGUUGUGGUCUGUGGCAGACAACAGGGGUGUCAGCUCAUGUGUUCUUUGGCCAUGGCCCUCGAACCGGGCCGGACCGGGCCUCUGUGUAAAAUGGUAAUUUAUGCAAACAUGAACCUGGCUCGAACUGCUACCCGGACAUGAAAACUCGGCCCGAACCUGACCCAAACUGCAAGCCCGGACUGGUCCGGCCCGGGUUUCUUGGACGGGGUUACCGGGCCGGGCUGCCUAUCCCAGAUUUAGGCGCAAGGCCACCAUUGGUCCUGGCCUGGCCAUGCAUUGAUGCAUGCGUGGCCACCAUUUGAUUUGGCCAUCAUCCAACGGAGCUGGGCAGCCAUGCAUCUCGCUAGCAACGACCCUACUAGGUACGGCGACGUGCCAAAUCCUGAUGCUGAUGCAUGAUUUGUGACACUAAUAUAAAAGAUGCAUAAUUGGUGUUAGGAAUCAAAUUAAAUAGCGUUAGAUUUUGAAUAAUUUGACAGUCAACAUAUUUUUUAGAAUAUUCUGUCUAGCAGUUACAAUUUUGACUUUGUUCAUACAUUGUACAUCUCAAAGUCUCUACCAAAGACACAUCACUUGUAACCGACAUUGUAACAUGUGUGAUCAGAUGGUAUAUAAGGCUGAACACCAAUAUCAAUAAAACUACUACAUUCACUUCAAUCCUUUUCUUUGCUUCUCAAUUGGCAAUGAUGCCAGUCUUCUUCCACUCUUACUUGAAAAUGCGAUGUCAUUUUCCCGAGGAAUUAAUUUCCAUAAACAAGUCGUGUGGAUGGACAUGCAUGGUUUGCGCACACUAGUUUCAUUCCGAAUUAUUUGCUGGAUAUUAUCUUGGCCAUGCGCAAACCUAGAGAGAAAAUUACCAUGUAUCCUAGCAUAUGAUCAGUCAUAAUUUUCAUCUAAAGAUGAUAUGUCACACACUAUAUUUUACAUGAAACAUACAAACAAAACGUCCCUUGAGCACUGCUCCUUGAGAUAUCAAAAAGGCUUUCGCCCUGCUUUAUAAAUAAAGCAAACCACCAGAUCAUAAUAUUUGACACAAGUUCAACACACACACACACGUACAUAAGUGGCACAAGACAUCAACAAAGGGUUCCGCUGAGGGCACAAUUGAACAAGCCCUAAGAAACACACACACCCACACCCAAACCGAGCAGCGGGAGGAUGUAAAAGCCACAUCAUGCUAAUCUGGAUGUGGAGGUGGCGGCGGAAGCGGGGGCGCCAUGCGGAGAGCCAUCAGACGAAGGUUGGCGAUGAUGUUGUUGAUGGCGUCUCGGUCGAAGGAGCGGUUAAGCGACCGCCAGAGCUGCAUGAAACCACACAUUUUAAAAACUGUGUUAAUUGCAUGUCGUAGGGGUACACGCUGGAUCACAAACUUGUUGCGGAUAGUCCAUAGAGUUCACGUGAGCACCCCCGAUGUCUAGCCACCUAAUGUGCCGGGCCGACGAGGGGACGGACUUAAUCUCCAUUGACCGUCGACGGUGUCGCGGAAGCAACUCCAGAGGAAUUGAGCAGUGAUGCAAGUGAAGAAGAUGUGAUUGGAGUCCUCCAAAACGUCGCACAGAGGGCAGAUCCCAUCUCCAAUGCCAUUGCGUUUGAGCACCUCCACCCUAGAGGGUACCCGGCCCCGAAUUCAUUGCCACAGGAAGAUUCUGAUUUUUAGUGGUAACCUAAUGUCACACACAUCGGUGAGGGCCUCUGGGGCAGACGACGGGGCGAUGGCCUGUUACAAAGACCGAGCGGAGCAGCGGCCCGAGGGUUCCAGGUGCCAAGACAUGCGGUCCGCAACGGUGUCGAUGUCGGGCGAGUGGUGGGCGAUGCACUCCAGCAUCUCAUCCUAGGCACGGAGCUCAGGCGGACCGAACGGGUGACGGAACACGAGGCACCCAAGAUCCAGAAGGGCGACCUCGACCGAGGUCCUAGGCUCCACCGCGAUGGAGAAUAAUACCGGGAAUCGAACGGCAAACAACGAUUCACUGGCCGAGCGAUCAAACCAAAAUAGUGUAGCGGACCCAGAUCCAAUCGAGAUGGAAGAACCAAUGUGAAGGACAGGGAGCAACUGGAUGACCGAUUGCCAGAAUUGGGGGCCUCCGGAACGUUGGCAGAAUGUGAGCGGCUGGCCCCAAAGGUACUUGCUCCUAAUGAUGUCGAGCCAGAGGCCACCGUCACCAUUGGGAAUCCUCCACAGCCACUUAGUCAGCAAGGCGAUGUUCAUGCACUUCGACGACAUGAUCCCCAGACCGCCCUGGUCGCGGGGCUUGUAGAUGCCGGGCCAGCUGACCAUGUGGUAUUUCUGCUUAUCGCCCUCGCCAGCCCAGUAAAAUCUAGACUGGUACUUGGGAAUUUCGUGAUGCAAAGUCUCAAGGAGACUGUAGAAGCUCAUCACGAAUAAGAGAAGGCUGGAUAAGGAGGAGUUGAUGAGCACGGUCCUGGCCACCUUGACAACCACCGACCUUGCCACGGUUCGACCCGGUGUUGGAGCUUAGACACCGUAGGCCGCGGGUUAGCGACAGAGAGGCGCGAGUCAGUAAGGUGUACCCCCUAGGUAGGAGGAGGGGAAGUACCCAAGCUGGCAGUUUAGGCUGUCGGCGAUGAGUUGGGCCUCGUCGGGAGAGUAGCCAAAGAUCAUGACUUAGCUUUUGUCGAAGUUGAUCUUGAGCCCCGAUAUCUGCUGAAAGCAAAGGAGGAGAAAUUUAAGGUUGAUAAUAUCAUCCUCAGAUCCCUCCUCCGUGAUAAUGGUGUCAUCAGCAUAUUGCAGGAGGGAGACCCCUCCCCCUUCUACGAGAUGAGUAACAACACCAUGAAUAUGGCUGACUGCCUUGGCCUUAUCGAGGAUGGUGGCAAGGGCGUCUACCACCAUGUUAAACAUGAAGUGGAGAAGGGAUCCCCUUGCCUAACCCCACAGUGGGUGCGGAAGUACGGUCCAGCUUCCCCGUUGAUGUUAAACGCGGUCUAGCCAGACGAAACCAUCUGCAAAACUCGGGUCACCCACCGAUCAUCAAAGUUGUUUCCUUUUCUCUUUUACAUCGUGUGCAUGAAAAGGGAAUAGAUUAAGGACAUCUCCAACGCCGUUCUUUAAAACGUCGGUAAAAGUCCACACAACACGGUUUGAAUGUUUUGUGCCAGUCAAUGCUAUGUAUCAAACGACCGUGGACUGGUGGACAUUUCCGAACUCCUAUAAACUGGAAGCACGGUCGUGGAAGGUUUGUGAACGUCCGGAUCCUCACAACAUAAGUGUCCGACAUCCUGCACCCAUCCAAAACCGAGGUGGAGUCUCCGCAUUUGGACAAACACAUUUUUCACACGAAAGCCCAUCCUUUUCCCACUAUCUCCCCUCUGAUCGCUUACCCUUGAGCCGCAAUAUUAUUUUAACGUCACGUCUAUUAGCUCAUUCCUCUUUCCUACUGUGACACAACGUUUGCCGCCUCUGUCCCCGACCGACUAAGGGCAGCGGCAGCAUGCGCAUCACAGACAAACUUAAUUGUGGCCCCUCCCCCUUUCAAGGAACUUGUAAUUGCGACCAAAGUCUAUCGACGGGAUAAUGGUAGAUCGAUCGAGCAACCUCCGAUGUGGCACACCUUAAUUAUCGGAUGUAGAAUGCAUUAUAUGAGACGUGUCCGGUCAGUGUGUGCCGAUGCGAUUGACACCACGAGGGCAUCUUUUAUUUUCUUUUAUUUUCUCUCCAUUUUUAUGCAAAUCCCUAUCGAUUAUAUUAUAACGUCUUAAUAAUUGCUAAAUCUUCAAGCCAUCCAUCCAGCCACUAGUAUAGUUGUUAACUAGUGUAGUCCUUUCCAAGGCGUACUUGACCCGUAAAGUUGCAUCACCAAACCACAAACCCUUGCCUACUCACUUCUUCUUUUUCAACACACUACACUACGUACGCAAGCCCCUCAUAUACAUACACACAUGUUAUAAUCAUCCCUACAAACAUCCACCUUAUUCAUUCAUGCCAACACCUCCAACACACUAAAUCGACAUAUCAUGUUACGAUUUACCAAGGACUUAAACCCCGGUGGCCUAGGGAUGACAUUGUUUCUCUAACCAUCCAACCACACAUUGAUUUGCACUCAAUUUUUUCUUGAGAUUAUAUAUAAAAAAAUGAUAGUACCCGUAGAUGGUUGUAUAUUAGGGGUAAGCCUACGGACCUGCUUCCCUAGGUUCACCUAGGACCCCUUACGGACAUCACUGUCCUUAAAGUCAUCCGUGUAGCCUCAACCUCACUCGAUACUGCAUACCAUAACUCGGCCUCACUGGAGUCACUCGGAUGCUUCCUCGCACUCGGACCACAACAAGGCGAAGGGGCUGCAACGGCUAAGGACUUAAUCCAUCACAUGAAGUGCAGUGAAGGCCCGCGUUACCAGUAACGCCGAGAGUUAUAACUGUCGUUUCUAGUAACUUCCCUCUUUAUUAGCAUUAACUCACCUUGUAAUGAAGCUCGGCCGGUCGUGUCAGCAACUAUAUAAGCCACUCCCGGGCUCCAGCUCAACGGUUCAACUCCUUGUAAUCUUUCAUACUCCAUAAGCAAACAUCAGCCUCAGGGCCCGAGACGUAGGGUUGUUACCACCUCCGAGUGGGGCAUGUACCCGUACAUCCGAGUGCAUCCAUUGCGCCUAGUUAGACUUUGCCCCCUUUUCGUACCCCUAGGUACUAUUGUGAGGGUCAUUCCCACAACAGUUGGCGCCCAUUGUGGGGGUGCACGUCUAGCAAAUCCAGCGCAGUUGGAGAUUUACCGGCCCUGUUUGGAUACUCUAAUCCGGUUAGAGGUUAGAGUUAGAUUCUAACCCUGAACUAACUCUGAACUAACUCUAACCAAAGAGGUGUUUGGAUGAGAGGGUUAGAUUGACAAUAAAUGCUCUUUCUCAAUCAUUUGACUACUUUGGACCCUAUUUCCUACCGGAUUUGGUGUGACCGACAUUUGUGUGGCCUCCUCCCGCUCACAAUUGACCCUAUUUCCUACUGUUUCCUCCUCCGCGAUCGGCCGCCGCAGACGACGAGCCACCAAAGUUCAGUUGUCGGGCCAAGGGUGGCGACGGGUUCGCCCAUCCGUCUCCUGGUCUGGCACGUGCUGGCUGAUAGGAAGGGAGCCUGGAGGCCCCGCCUCGUCCAGGAAGGAGCUCGUCGUAGCUCUGGAGGAAAGCUCCGUAUAGCCCAAGCCCCGGGAACCCCUCCGGCGCUGAAUCUUGAGAGUUGAGGUCGAGAUCGGCAUGGGUAGCUGGGCCGCUUGCCGACGGCUGCGAACCCCAUACCUCGAAGCCCUCUCCGUCCAUCGCAGGUGGGUUGACAACCCACAAGCGUAUGGGAUCGCAACAGUUUUCGAGGGUAGAGUAUUCAACCCAAAUUUUUUGGUUCACACAAGGGAAGCGAAAGAAUAUUCUCGAGUAUUAGCAGCUGAGUUCGUGAUACGUCCAUUUUGCAUCAUGCUUUCAUGUUGAUAUUGAUCGCUUUAUGGACUGUUAUAUUACUUUGUGGUACCAUACUUAUGCCUUUUCUCUCUUAUUUUGCAAGGUUUAUUUGAAGAGGGAAAAUACCGGCAGCUGGAUUUCUGGACUAGAAAAGGAGCAAGUCUGAGUCCUCUAUUCUGCGCAACACCAAAUGCCCUGAAAAUCAACGUGAAUUUUUUUUGGGAAUAUAUAAAAAAUACUGGGCGAAAGAAGUGCCAGAGGGGCGCUACCAGGGGCCCACAAGCCUGGUAGCCGCCACCCCCUAGUGGCGGCUACAGGGCUUGUGGGCACACUGGCGGCCCACUAGCCCCCCUCUUUUGCUAUAUGAAGGGUUUCGUCCAGGAAAAAAAAUCAAGGUGGAGCUUUUUCGUGGAUUCUCCGCCGCCUCGAGGCGGAACUUGAGCAGAACCAAUCUAGAGCUCCGGCAGGACGAUUCUGCCGGGGAAACUUCCCUCCCGGAGGGGGAAAUCGUCGCCAUCGUCAUCACCAACACUCCUCUCAUCGGAGGGGAGUCAUCUCCAUCAACAUAUUCAUCAGCACCAUCUCCUCUCCAAACCCUAGUUCAUCUCUUGUAACCAAUCUUCGUCUCGCGACUCCGAUUGGUACUUGUAAGGUUGCUAGUAGUGUUGAUUACUCUUUGUAGUUGAUGCUAGUUGGGUUACUUGGUGGAAGAGUUUAUGUUCAGAUCCUUGAUGCUACUCAUUACACCUCUGAUCAUGAUUAUGAUUAUGCUUUGUGAGUAGUUACUUUUGUUCCUGAGGACAUGGGAUAAGUCAUGCUGAUAAUAGUCAUGUGAAUUUGGUAUUCCUUCGGUAUUUUGAUAUGCUGUAUGUUGUCUUUUCCUCUAGUGGUGUUAUGUGAACGUCGACUACAUAACACUUCACCAUAUUUGGGCCUAGAGGAAGGCACUGGGGAGUAGUAAGUAGAUGAUGGGUUGCUAGAGUGACAGAAGCUUAAACCCCAGUCUAUGUGUUGCUUCGUAAGGGGCUGAUUUGGAUCCACUAGUUUAAUGCUAUAGUUAGACGUUGUCUUAAUUCUUCUUUCAUAGUUGCGGAUGCUUGCGAGAGGGGUUAAUCAUAAGUGGGAUACUUGUCCAAGUAAGGGCAGUACCCAAGCGCCGGUCCACCCACAUAUCAAACUAUCAAAGUAACGAACGGGAAUCACAUGAACAUGAUGAAACUAGCAUGCCAGAAAUUCCCGUGUGUCCUCGGGAGCGUUUUUCCUCUUAUAAGACUUUGUUCAGGCUUGUCCCUUGCUACAAAAGGGAUCGGGCCACUUUACUGCACCGUUUCUACUACUUGUUACUUGUUACUUUUCACUUGCUACGUUUCACCUCACUACACCAUCACUUGUUACCUCUACUUUCAGUGCUUGCAGUUAUUACCUUGCUGAAAACCGUUUAUCAGAGCCUUCUGCUCCUCGUUGGGUUCGACACUCUUACUUAUUGAAAGGACUACGAUUGAUCCCCUAUACUUGUGGGUCAUCAAGACUCUUUUCUGGCGCCGUUGCCGGGGAGUGAAGCGCCUUUGGUAAGGAAACAUUUAUAUACUGUGCUGAAAUUUAUUGUCACUUGUCACUAUGGAAACUGUUCCUUUGAGGAGUUUGUUCGGGGUAUCUUCACCACGAACGGAAGUGCGAGGAGUUGCUCCUCAACCUGAGGUACCUACUGAAAAUAUCUUUUAUGAAAUUCCUUCGGGUAUGCUUGAGAAACUGCUGGCUAAUCCUUUUACAGGAGAUGGAUCAUCACAUCCAGACUUGCAUCUAAUCUAUGUAGAUGAAGUUUGUGGUUUAUUUAAGCUUGCAGGUUUGCCCGAGGAUGAGGUAAAGAAGAAAGUAUUUCCUUUAUCUUUGAAUGAUAAGGCAUUGACAUGGUAUAGGCUUUGUGAUGAUACUGGAUCAUGGGACUACAAUCGGUUGAAAUUGGAAUUUCACCAAAAGUUUUAUCCUAUGCAUUUAGUACAUCAUGAUCGGAAUUUUAUUUAUAACUUUUGGCCUCGUGACAGGGAAAGCAUAGCUCAAGCUUGGGGAAGGCUUAAAUCAAUGCUAUAUUCAUGCCCCAAUCAUGAGCUCUCGAGAGAAAUUAUCACUCAAAACUUUUAUGCUCGACUUUCUCAUGAAGAUCGUACCAUGCUUGACACUUCUUGUACCGGUUCUUUUAUGAAGAAGGAUAUUGACCACAAGUGGAAUUUAUUGGAAAGAAUCAAACGUAACUCUGAAGAUUGGGAGCUUGAAGAAGGUAAGGAGUCAGGUAUGAAUUUCCAGUUUGAUUGCGUUAAAUCUUUUGUUGAAACAAACACUUGUAGAGAUUUUAGCGCUAAGUAUGGACUUGACUCUGAGAUAGUAGCUUCUCUAUGUGAAUCUUUUGCUGCUCAUGUUGAUCUUCCCAAAGAGAAGUGGUUUAAGUAUCAUCCUCCUGUAGAAGUCAACAUAGUUAAACCCAAUCUAGUUGAAGAGAAAGUCAUUGCCUUUAGUGAUCCUAUUGUUCCUUGUGCCUACGCUGAGAAACCACCUUACCCUGCUAGGAAAAAGGAUUAUUCUAAAGCUCCAACUGUGAUACGUAGGGGUUACAUUAGACCACUUGCACCCCCUGAGGAAAUUAGAGUUGAACCUAGUGUUGCUAUUAUCAAAGAUAUCUUAGCCGAAGACAUAGACGGGCAUGUUAUCAAAUUCUGUGAGGACUCCGCUAGAAUUGCUAAACCUCAGGCGAAAGACAAAUACGGACGUGUAGUUGGCCUGCCCGUUGUUUCUGUCAAGAUAGGAGACCGCUGUUAUCAUGGUUUAUGUGAUAUGGGUGCUAGUGUUAGUGCAAUACCCCGGUCCCUAUAUGAUGAAAUCAAAGAUGAGAUUGCACCUGCUGAGUUAGAACCCAUUGAUGUCACUAUUACGCUAGCUAAUAGAGACACUAUCUGCCCUGUGGGAAUUGUGAGAGACGUAGAAGUCCUGUGUGGUAAGACGAAGUAUCCUACUGAUUUCCUCGUCCUUGCUACUGCAAAAGAUAGCUUUUGUCCCAUCAUAUUUGGUAGACCCUUUCUCAACACUGUCAAUGCUCAUAUUGAUUGCAUUAAACAGACGUCACUGUUAGUUUCGAGGGUGUGUGUCAUGAAUUUAACUUCUCCAAGUUUGGAAGACAACCCCAUGAAAAAGAGUCGUUUGGUAGGGAUGAAAUCAUCGCUCUUGCCUCUAUUGCCGUACCUCCUACGGAUCCUUUAGAGCAAUAUCUGCUUGAGCAUGAAAAUGAUAUGCAUAUGGAUGAGAGAGAUGAGAUAGAUAAAAUUGUUUUAGAACAAUAUCCUAUUCUCAAGAAUAAUCUGCCUGUUGAACUGCUUGGGGAUCCUCCCCCACCAAAGGGUGAUCCUGUGUUCGAGCUAAAACAGUUACCAUACACUCUUAAGUAUGCCUACCUUGAUGAGAAGGAGAUAUAUCCUGUUAUUAUUAGUGCUCACCUCUCGAAUCACGAAGAGAAGAAGUUAUUAAAAACUUUGAGGAAGCACCGUGAGGCUAUUGGAUAUAGUCUUGAUGAUCUUAAGGAUAUUAGUCCCACUCUAUGCCAGCACAAGAUCAAAACUAAUCCUGAAUUCAAACCAGUUGCUCAUCAUCAAAGGAGAUUAAAUCCUAAGAUGAAAGAGGUCAUGAGAAAAGAAAUAUUAAAGCUUCUAGAAGCAUGAAUCAUUUAUCCUGUUGCUCAUAGUGAUUGGGUAAGUCCAGUACAUUGCGUACCUAAGAAGGGAGGUAUCACCGUUGUUCCUGAUGAUAAGAAUGAACUAAUCCCACAAAGGAUUAUUACUGGCUAUAGGAUGGUGAUAGACUUCCGGAAACUGAACAAGGCAACCAGGAAAGACCAUUAUCCUUUGUCGUUUAUCGACCAAAUGCUAGAAAGGCUAUCUAAACAUACACACUUCUGCUUUCUAGACGGUUAUUCAGGUUUCUCGCAAAUACCUGUUGCACAAUCUGAUUAGGAGAAAAUCACUUUCACCUGCCCCUUUGGUACCUUUGCUUAUAGACGUAUGCCUUUUGGCUUAUGCAACGCACCUGCCACCUUUCAAAGGUGUAUGAUGGCUAUAUUCUCUCACUUUUGUGAAAAGAUUGUUGAGGUUUUUAUGGAUGAUUUCUCCGUUUACGGUUCCUCCAUUGACGAUUGCCUCAGCAACCUUGAUCGAGUCUUACAGAGAUGCAAAGAUACCAACCUCGUCUUGAACUGGGAGAAGUGCCACUUCAUGGUUAAUGAAGGCAUCGUCUUAGGACACAAAAUCUCUGAGAAAGGCAUUGAAGUUGAUAAGGCUAAGGUUGAUGCAAUUGAGAAAAUGCCUUGCCCCACAGAUAUCAGAGGUAUACGAAGUUUCCUAGGUCACGCUGGUUUCUAUAUAAGGUUCAUUAAAGACUUCUCUAAGAUUUCUAGGCCUCUUACCAACCUCUUGCAUAAGGAUGUUCCUUUUGUUUUUGAUGAGGAUUGUGAGGAAGAUUUCAAAAUACUUAAGAAGGCCUUGAUAACCGCACCUAUUGUUCAACCACCUGAUUGGAACUUGCCCUUUGAAAUCAUAUGCGAUGCUAGUGAUUAUGCUGUUGGUGCUGUUCUAGGACAAAGAGUUGACAAGAAGUUGAAUGCUAUUCACUACGCUAGUAAAACUCUAGACAGUGCCCAAAGAAACUAUGCCACUACGGAAAAGGAGUUUUUAGCAGUCGUGUUUGCAUGUGAAAAGUUCAGAUCUUAUAUAGUUGACUCCAAAGUCACUAUUCACUCUGAUCAUGCUGCUAUUAAGUACCUUAUGGAGAAGAAGGACGCUAAGCCUAGGCUAAUCAGAUGGGUUCUCCUGCUACAGGAAUUUGAUUUGCAUGUUGUUGACCGAAAGGGUGCUGAUAACCCUGUAGCAGAUAACAUGUCCAGGCUAGAGAAUGUCCUUGAUGACCCAUGACCUAUUGAUGACAACUUUCCUGAUGAGCAAUUGAAUGUCAUCCGCACUUCACAUAGUGCACCGUGGUAUGCUGAUUACGCAAACUAUAUCGUAGCCAAAUAUAUACCACCCAGUUUCACCUACCAACAAAAGAAGAAAUUCUUCUUUGAUUUGAGACACUAAUUUUGGGAUGAUCCUCACCUUUAUAAGGAAGGAGUAGACGGUGUUAUUAGACGUUGUGUGCCUGAACACGAACAGGGACAGAUCCUGCAGAAGUGUCAUUCCGAAGCCUACGGAGGACACCAUGCUGGAGAUAGAACUGCUCAUAAGGUAUUGCAAUCAGGUUUCUAUUGUCCCACUCUCUUCAAGGAUGCCCGUAAGUUUGUCUUGUCUUGUGACGAAUACCAAAGAAUAGGGAACAUCAGUAAACGUCAGGAAAUGUCUAUGAACUAUUCACUUGUCAUUGAACCAUUUGAUGUUUGGGGCUUUGAUUAUAUGGGACCCUUCCCAAGUUCCAAUGGGUACACUCACAUCUUAGUCGCUGUUAAUUAUGUCACUAAGUGGGUAGAAGCUAUCCCCACUAGAAAUGCUGAUCAUCACACCUCUAUUAAGAUGCUUAAAGAAGUCAUUUUCCCAAGAUUUGGAGUCCCUAGAUAUCUGAUGACUGAUGGCGGUUCACACUUCAUUCAUGGUGUUUUCCGCAAGAUGCUUGCUAAGUAUGAUGUCAACCAUAGAGUUGCAUCUCCUUAUCAUCCUCAGUCUAGUGGUCAAGUGGAGUUGAGUAAUAGGGAGAUCAAGUUGAUAUUACAAAAGACUGUCAAUAGAUCUCGAAAGAAUUGGUCUAGUAAACUUGACGAUGCACUAUGGGCUCAUAGGACUGCUUAUAAGAAUCCCAUGGGCAUGUCAUCGUAUAAAAUGGUUUACAGUAAGGCCUGUCAUUUACCUCUUGAGCUAGAACACAAGGCUUAUUGGGCAAUCAAAGAGCUCAACUUCGAUUUCAAACUUGCCGGUGAGAAGCGGUUGUUUGAUAUCAGCUCAUUAGAUGAAUGGAGGGCCCAGGCAUAUGAGAAUGCCAAGUUGUUCAAGGAAAAGGUUAAGAGAUGGCACGAUAAAAGAAUACAAAAACGAGAGUUCAAUGUAGGUGAUUAUGUCCUGCUAUACAAUUCUCGCAUAAGAUUCUUCGCAGGCAAGCUUCUCUCUAAAUGGGAAGGUCCUUACGUUGUCGAGGAAGUAUAUCGUUCCGGUGCCAUCAAAAUCAAUAACACGGAAGGUAAUUUUCCUAGAGUGGUAAAUGGGCAAAGAAUCAAGCACUAUAUCUCUCGUACUCCCAUAAAUGUUGAGACCAAUAUCAUCAAUAUCAUAACUCCAGAGGAGUACAUAAGGGAUGUUUAUCAGCCUGUUUCAGACCCUGAAAACGAAGAGGUAUGUGUUUCAGUAAGUAAUUGGACUCCGAAACUUUGCCAAUAGGAAAUUUUCUCCGUUUUGGAAUUUUUGGAAAAUUAGAAAAAUAAAAAGAAGUCCGGAGAGCGCAUGAGGCGGCCACAAGCUUGGUAGCCGCCACCUACCCCCCUAGCGGCGGCUACAGGGCUUGUGGGCACCUCGUGUGCCUCCCGGACUCCGUUUUCUUGCGGAGCACUCCUUUUGGUCCAGAAGAAAUCAUUAUAUAUACGCCCGAGGGUUUUGAUCUCCGUAUCGCGCAUUUUUCCUCUGUUUUUGUUUCGAGCCUGUUAUCUGCCGCAGAUCUAGGUCAAGAUGUCUUCUCAGGAUUCAGAGGGGGAGAGCUAUGUGGCUGAUUAUCUUGCUAACCCCAAGGUUUAUGGGGACUUGGAACCAUAUGGCUGGACCACUGACGAGGAAGAGGACUGUGAGCCCAAGGGGAAGGAACAAACGAGUUCCUACGAAGAGGAGGCUCCUCUACCUCAACCUGGACGCACUCAUGUGGAGUUCAAGAAGUCAAGCCUCCCUGACCAAAGGAAGAAGCCUAAGACCUUGUUUAUCCCUUCUCGUUUCUUGCAGGAGAGUAAGCAGGAACAUUGCCAUAGAGUGUUGAAGCUUGAGGAGGAAAAUUACGAUCUGAGGGAGCAGAACUUUAUGCUCAAGUGGAAAUUAGACAAGCUCAAGACUGCUUCAACAACUCCACCACCAUCACCACCAAAGGAAGACAACUAAGCAUUGGUAUGGGCAAUCCCCUUGGCUUUUGCCAAGCUUGGGGGAGUUUCCCUGGUAUCGUAUCACCUUUAUAUCUUUUGCUUUUACCUUUGUUUUAGUUCUUCCCUUUUCAGUUUUUAUUUCUUCUCUUAGUAGAAUAAGUCUUUAGUGUUUAGUUUGAGUCUUUUGCUUUGUGUCUCCCCUCAUGUAUUCGAGCUUGCGAGCUUUAUAAUAAAGAGUAUCUUAGUCAAGGGCUUUGUCUUGUGCCGUGAUCAAAAGUAUUAAAAGAGCGAUAGCAUGAAAGUGAUAGCUUCACAUAUAACAAGUAUGAUGAUUGAAACUUGUUGAGAAUAGACCAACAUAGACCCUAGUCAUUGUUGCAAUAAAUAAGAAGUAAUAAGGAAAGAGAGGUUCACAUAUAAAUAUAUCAUCUUAGACACUUUUUACAAUUGUGAGCACUCACCAAACUAUUACGUGCUUAGAAGUAGAUGUUGGACAAGGAAGACAACAUAAUGAAUUGUGUUUGCUUGGUUCCAAACAAUGUUAUAUGCCUAGAGAUCCCUUAGCAUGUGAUGAUUGCUUCCACCUCAUAUUAGCCAAAACUCCCGCAACAAGUAGAUAUACUACUUGUGCAUCCAUAAACCUUCAAACCAGUUUUGCCAUGACUGUCCACCAUACCUACCUAUGGAUUGAAUAAGAUCCCUCAAGUAAGUUGUCAUCGGUGCAAGAAAUAAAAAUUGCUCUCUAAUAUGUAUGAUCUAUUAGUGUGUGGAAAAUAAGCUUUGUACGAACCUGUGAUGAGGAAGACAUAAAAGCGACAGACUGCAUAAUAAAGUUCUUUAUCACAGGAGGCAAUAUAGAGUGAUGUUCCUCCGCACUAAGAGGACACACAUCCUAACCAGAAAAGCGCAUGACAACCUCUGUUUCCCUCUGCGAAGGGCCUAUCUUGUACCUUUACUUUUUGCCCUUGAAAGAGUCAUGGUGAUCUUCACCAAUUCCUUAUUUUGCCUUUGUCUUGGCUACUGUCACAAGCUAGGGAAAGAUCUAUAUUCAUAUAUCAACUUGGAGGUGAGUACUUAUGCUUUAUUAUUGUUGACUUUACCCUUGAGGUAAAUGGUUGUGAGGCAAAACUAUAAGCCCCUAUCUUUCUCUGUGUCCAACUGAAACUUUGGUACCAUGAGUACCACGUGAGUUGUAACAAUUGUGGAAAACAAAAGAGAUGAUUGAGUAUGUGGGUUUGCUUUACAAGCUCUUAUUUGACUCUUUUUGAUGUUAUGAUAAAUUGCAACUGCUUCAAUGACUAUGGACUGUUAUUUGCUACUUCUCGGUAAGGUUUUUGUUUCAUACUUUGCUUUGUGAAUUAAUUGUUACUUUCCCAUAAGAAUCUUUAUGAUGUAUUGUUGUUCUAUGUGUGAUCAUGAUGCCCUCAUGUCUGUAUUAUGUUUUAUCGACACCUUCAUCCCUAAACAUGUGGACAUGUUUAUGGAUCUUGGUUUUCGCUUGAGGACAAGCGAGGUCUAAGUUUGGGGAGUUGAUACGUCCAUUUUGUAUCAUGCUUUCAUGUUGAAAUUUAUCGCUUUAUGGACUGUUAUUACUUUGUGGUACCAUACUUAUGCCUUUUCUCUCUUAUUUUGCAAGGUUUAUUUGAAGAGGGAGAAUACCGACAGCUGGAAUUCUGGACUGGAAAAGGAGCAAGUCUGAGUCCUCUAUUCUGCGCAACUCCAAAUGCCCUGAAAAUCAACGUGGAAUUUUUUGGGAAUAUAUAAAAAAUACUGGGCGAAAGAAGUGCGAGAGGGGCGCUACCAGGGGCCCACAGGCCUGGUAGCCGCCCCCUGGGGGCGGCUACAGGGCUUGUGGGCACCCUGGCGGCCCACUGCCCCCCCUCUUUUUCUAUAUGAAGGGUUUCGUCCAGGAAAAAAUCAAGGUGGAUCUUUUUCGUGGAUUCUCCGCCGCCCCGAGGCGGAACUUGAGCAGAACCAAUCUAGAGCUCCGGCAGGACGAUCCUGCCGGGGAAACUUCCCUCCCGGAGGGGGAAAUCGUCGCCAUCGUCAUCACCAACACUCCUCUCGUCGGAUGGGAUUCAUCUCCAUCAACAUCUUCAUCAGCACCAUCUCCUCUCCAAACCCUAGUUCAUCUCUUGUAACCAAUCUCCGUCUCGCGACUCCGAUUGGUACUUGUAAGAUUGCUAGUAGUGUUGAUUACUCUUUGUAGUUGAUGCUAGUUGGAUUACUUGGUGGAAGAGUUUAUGUUCAGAUCCUUGAUACUUCUCAUUACACCUCUGAUCAUUAUUACGAUUAUGCUUUGUGAGUAGUUACUUUUGUUCCUGAGGACAUGGGAUAAGUCAUGCUGAUAAUAGUCAUGUGAAUUUGGUAUUUGUUCGGUAUUUUGAUAUGUUGUAUGUUAUCUUUUCCUCUAGUGGUGUUAUUUGAACGUCGACUACAUAACACUUCAUCGUAUUUGGGCCUAGAGGAAGGAAUUGGGGAGUAGUAAGUAGAUGAUGGGUUGCUAGAGUGACAAAAGCUUAAACACCAGUCUAUGCGUUGCUUCGUAAGGGGCUGAUUUGGAUCCACUAGUUUAACACUAUGGUUAGACGUUGUCUUAAUUCUUCUUUCGUAGUUGCGGAUGCUUGCGAGAGGGGUUAAUCAUAACUGGGAUGCUUGUCCAAGUAAGGGCAGUACCCAAGCGCCGGUCCACCCACAUAUCAAACUAUCAAAGUAACGAACGCGAAUCACAUGAACAUGAUGAAACUAGCAUGACAGAAAUUCCCGUGUGUCCUCGGGAGCGUUUUUCCUCUUAUAAGACUUUGUUCAGGCUUGUCCCUUGCUACAAAAGGGAUUGGGCCACUUUGCGGCACCGUUGCUACUACUUGUUACUUGUUACUUUUCACUUGCUACGUUUCACCUCACUACACCAUCACUUGUUACCGCUACUUUCAGUGCUUGCAGUUAUUACCUUGCUCAAAACCGUUUAUCAGAGCCUUCUUGUCCUCGUUGGGUUCAACACUCUUACUUAUCGAAAGGACUACCAUUGAUACCCUAUACUUGUGGGUCAUCAGUUCGUCAGAUUCAACCACACCUGAAAGAUUAGUGUCUGCAGCAAGGUAUCAGUAGCAAAGUAGUAUGAUAGCAACGGUGCCAGAAACGAUAUGUUGACGGCAGACUAUUCCUAACUGUUGUAUCAAUGCCGCGAGUAGAGAGCAUGUGGACGGGGAACUAUUCUUCCGAGGCAACGGCUCCAGAAAAGUCUUGCAACAAGUAGCCGCAAAGUAGCAAGGCACAGCAGUAGCAGCAACAACAAAGUAACAACAGUAGCAACAGUAGCAGCAAAGUGACAGCAGUAGCAACAGUAGCAGCAAAGUGGCCCAAUCCCUUUUGUAGCAAGGGACAAGCCUAGACAAAGUAACAUAGCGAGGACCAGUAGUAAAAAACUCGUAGGCAGUGGAUCGGUGAUGGAUGAGUAUGACAGAUGUGAUUCAUCAUGUAACAGCUAUAACAGGGAGAGAUAUGUGACUAGGUCCUGUUCAUCAAUCUAAUGUAGGCAUGUAUUCCGUAUGUAGUCAUGCGUGCCUAGGGAAAAGAACUUGCAUGGCAUCUAUUGUCCAUCCCUCCCGUGGCAGCGGGGUCCUAAUGGAAACUACGGGAUAUUAAGGUUCUCCUUUUAAUAAAGAACCGGACCAACGCAUUCACACGCGGUGAAUACAUGAACUCCUCAUACUAUGGUCAUCUCCGGGAGUGGUUCCGGCUAUUGUCACUCUGGGGUUGCCGGUUCAUAACACAUAGUAGGUGACUACAACUUGCAAGAUAGGAUCUAAAACACACAUAUAUUGGUGACAACAUAAUAGGUUCACAUCUGAAAUCAUGGCACUCGGGCCCUAGUGACAAGCAUUAAGCAUAGCCAAGUAGUAGCAACAUCAAUCUAGAACAUAGUGGAUACUAGGGAUCAAUCCCCGUCAAGAACUAACUCGAUUACAUGAUAGAUCUCAUCCAACUCAUCACCGUCCAGCAAGCCUACAAUGAGAUUACUCACGAACGAUGAAGAACAUCAUGGAAUUGUCGAUGGAGAAAGGUUGAUGAUGACGAUGGCGACGAUUUCCCCUCUCCGGAGCCCGAAACGGACUCCAGAUCUGCCCUCCAGAUGAAGAACAAGAUGUGGCGACACCUCCGUACCGCAAAAUGCGAUGAAACCUUCUCUCUGAUUUUUUUUCCAGGCGAAACGGAAGAUAUAGAGCUGAGUUUGGGGGUGGUGGUGCCACGUGGGCCCCACAAGCCUACACGGCGCGACCUAGGGGGGUGGCCGCGGCCUGUGGGCUUGUGGCCCACUGGCACGCCCCCUCCGGUGGAUCUUUGCGCAUGUAUUUUUCUUUUAUUACAGAAAAAAUCUCCGUAAAUUUUUAGGACAUUCCGAGAACUUUUAUUUCUGCACAAAAACAACACCAUGGCAAUUCUGCUGAAAACAACGUCAGUCCGGGUUAGUUCCAUUCAAAUUAUGCAAAUUAGAGUCCAAAACAAGGGCAAAAGAGUUCCGAAAAGUAGAUACGACAGAGACGUAUCAACUCCCCCAAGCUUAAAGCCUUGCUUGUCCUCAAGCAAUUUAGUUGACAAACUGAAAGAGACAAAAGAAAAACUUUGACGAACUCUGUUUGAUCUUGUUGUUGCAACUAUGUCUAACUCAUAUCCAGAGUUUCAGCAAGAUCACAAGCAAACCACAUAAGCAAAUGACAUCUAGGUCUCACGGUAAACUCAUAUCAAUGGCAUAAUCAACUAGUGAGCAAAUAAUAAUAAGCCUCAAAUGUCAACACUUCAAUCAAAACAACAUGAAGCAGUACGAAUAGAUGGUAUCUCGCUAGCUCUUUGUGAGACCACAAAACAUAAAUGCAGAGCACCUUCAAAGACCAAGGGCUGACUAAACAUUGUAAUUCAUGACAAUGAAGAUCCAGUCAUAGUCAUACUCAACAUAGUUAAAAGCAAAGCAUAAAAAUGACAGAGGUGCUCUCUAAUUGGUGCUUUGUAGGAGGAGGAGGAUGACUCAACAGGAACAUAAAUAGACAGGCCCUUCGCAGAGGGAAGCAUUGAUUUGCAGAGGUGACAGAGCUCAAGCUUUGAAAACAGAGAUAAUAAUUUUGGGUGGCAUGCUUUCAUUUUCAACGCAAUGACUAAGAGUUCUCAACAUCUUCCACGCUACACAUGCCAUAGGCGGUUCCCAAAAAAAAGGCAAAGUUUUGACCCCCCCCACCACCAAUCAAUCACACUCCACGGCUAGCCGAAUCCUCGGGUACCGUCCAUACCAACAACAAUCCUGGGGGAGUUUUGUUUGCAAUUAUCUUUUCGAUUUGAGCAUGGAACUGGGAAUUCCAAUUACCGGCCCCUUUCUCGUGAAUGAUAGUGAAUAAACACAUAUCGAGAAUAACACGCCUAGCAUGGAAGAUACCAAUAGCCCCCUGUCACCACAUGAACGGUUCGGGCAUGCAAAACAGAUUAUUUCUUGAAGAUUUAGAGAAUGGCACAUGCAAAUUUACUUGGAACGGCAGGUAGAUACCGCACAUAGGUAGGUAUGGUGGACUCAUAUGGCACAACUUUGGGUUUAUGGAGGUGGAUGCACAAGCAGUAUUCCCGCUUAGUACAAGUGAAGGCUAGCAAAAGACCGGGAAGCGACCAACUAGAGAGCGACAAUAGUCAUCAAAAUGCAUUGAGAGUAACUAACAUUGAGUGCAAGCAUGAGUAGGACAUAAAUCACCAUGAACAUGAACAUCAUAGAGGCUAUGUUAAUUUUGUUUCAACUACAUGCGUGAACAUGCGCCAAGUCAAGCCACUUGAAUCAUUCAAAGGAGGAUACCAUCCUAUCAUACUACAUCAUAGUCAUCUCAACAUUCAUGUUGGCAACCAAGACAAACCAUUAUAAGCUCCUAGCUAAGUAAGCAUGGCAUAAGCAACUAUGAUCUCUAAGUUGUUAUUGCAAACAUGUUUCCCUCACAACAAAGCUGAACUAGGAACAAUGAGCUAGUCAUAUUUACAAAAACAAAAUAGAUCGAGUUCAUACCAGCUUUUCCAGGCUCAGUCACUUCAUCAUAUAUCGUCAUUAUUGCCUUUCACUCGCACGACCGAACGAUGUGAACAAUAAUAAGAGUGCUCGUGCAUUGGACUACGCUGGAAUCUGCAGGCAAACACAAAGGAGAAGACAAAGUAAUAUGGCUCUUUGAAAGCUAAACAGGUAUGCAUGCAAGACCCACUAAACAUUGUAACCAAUAUCUUCUACCUUGACCCAAAGAAAAAGAAAACUAUCUACACGGGAAAGCUCCCAACAAGCAAAAGAAGAAAAAGAAAAUCUUUUUGUUUUUUCUCAAACUAGACAGACACACGAAAAGAAAAGGAGAAAAAGAAAAUAAACUAACAUGGAUGAUAAAGUGGCAAAGUGUGAACACCGGCUAACAAAGUGAAAGCAUAAGCAAAAAUGUAAAGUCGGUGAGAACACGUACUCCCCCAAGCUUAGGCUUUUGGCCUAACUUGGUCUACUCCCAAGGAGGGAAAUAACCAGCUCCGGGGUACUCCGGAGUGGACUGAGGAUGCCAGUGUUGUGUAAGCUCCUCUGGCUCCCACUGAUAAACUGGCGUCUGGUACUCGACUGGCGGCUCCGGCACGGGCACCUGUGGUUGG
RNAcentral lists this long non-coding RNA (26854 nucleotides) under Hordeum vulgare. RNAcentral describes it as "long non-coding RNA (HVUL_LNC002390)". Lineage: Eukaryota; Viridiplantae; Streptophyta; Magnoliopsida; Poales; Poaceae. The record is from RNAcentral.